GUCAAACUUUUACGUCGGAUUAAACAGCAAUUAAACAACUUAAUAACAAACGUGUGGUGAAAUACAGAGAUAAAGCAAUACCGAAAUUUUGUUCUUUUUUUCCAAAUAUUGAUCUUAAACAGGGAUUAGAGACCCCUUUAUACAAUGUAAAAUUAACUGCUGAGUAGUACGCUACAUAGCCGAAACUUAAACAAUAUGGCGGUAACUUUUGUUUAGGGGAACUUACCGAAUAAAUGAUAACCACCAAGGUAAAUUAACCAACGAAAAUUCUUGUAUGCCGUCGUCGUCAGAUAAUACUGAUGGUAUUCUCCUAAUGUAUUUACAAAAAGACAGAUCAAGGUGCAGACAAUUUUUUGGUUCUGGCGAGUUACAUUUUGCGAUGAAAACAGAUCAACCAGGUAGAGGUAUGAGAAGGGGGACUUAACAGUAAUGGUCACUAUUUUACGCCUYGAACUAUYAAAUUCGUGUACAA
Molecule: ribosomal RNA, 472 nt
Filed under: Tolgachloritis jacksoni
Lineage: Eukaryota; Metazoa; Mollusca; Gastropoda; Stylommatophora; Camaenidae
Description: partial 12S ribosomal RNA
Source: RNAcentral